RNAcentral lists this unclassified non-coding RNA (338 nucleotides) under soil metagenome. RNAcentral describes it as "partial contains 5.8S ribosomal RNA, internal transcribed spacer 2, and large subunit ribosomal RNA". The stretch from base 1 to 120 matches the Rfam family "5.8S ribosomal RNA", at positions 35 to 154 of the family's 154-position model. The record is from RNAcentral.
GAUGAAGAACGUAGCGAAAUGCGAUAAGUAAUGUGAAUUGCAGAAUUCAGUGAAUCAUCGAAUCUUUGAACGCACAUUGCGCCCGGCAGUACUCUGCCGGGCAUGCCUGUUCGAGCGUCAUUUCAACCCUCAAGCCCUGCUUGGUGUUGGGAUCCCACGGCCGCCGUGGGCCCUGAAAGGAAGUGGCGGGCUCGCUACAACUCCGAGCGUAGUAAUUCAUUAUCUCGCUUAGGGCGUUGGGCGGCGCUCCUGCCGUUAAAGAACCAUCUUUAACUCAAGGUUGACCUCGGAUCAGGUAGGAAUACCCGCUGAACUUAAGCAUAUCAAUAAGCGGAGGA